This is a non-coding RNA of Pelobates cultripes (western spadefoot toad), 737 nucleotides long. NCBI's taxonomy places the organism in Eukaryota, Metazoa, Chordata, Amphibia, Anura, Pelobatidae. The record is from the annotation of a GenBank genome assembly.
AAAUUAUUGAAUAAGUUCAACAAAAUAAGAGGGGGGGGACUGGUUAGUUAUCAUUGGUUAAAAUUGCAUCACAUUAAUAAUACAUCAAAUUGACCACCAAGGAACUAGAUGCCUAAUUUUAAUUUCCAACCUCUUGGUUUUGCUUUUCUCAUUGUUUUACGUGUAUUAAAAGGACACUCUAGGCAACACGACUGCUAACACUUGCUAUUGAUCAAUGUCUGUUCCAUCCAAUGUGGACAUCAUUGGUUGGCUGAGAGUGCUGGGCUAGUUUGCGAAGUGCUCUCAGCCAAUCAGUGUCAUCCAGGUUGGACAGCUUGAUAAUGUGGCUGAGAUAGAGGUGGUUAUUCCUGAUUGAAUCUCGAUACACUAGUCUGUUAAUAAGGAUUGUGGAAUGUGCAGAUGUUUUUUACAGGGGUUUCUGUAUGUUCUGAUCCGUCACAGAAGGAGAUCAUUUUAAUAUUAAACUGUGAAACCAUAUUUAGAUAUUUUUAAAAGUAUUUCUACCAUGUGAUCCAAGCAAUUCCCAUUUUAUGUUCCAUUGUAUAAACCUUAUCCAAAGUGUUUAUCUUUUGUUAUCUUUGCUUGUAAUAUAAAAGUAUUUUUUGUAAAAAUCUGGGUUAAUGGUGAACUUUUUUUAGUUUUACAGAAAUAACUUAUGGAAGUUACAUUUGGUAUCCAAGCAGAAAUAGGGUUUAGUUCCAAGAACAUCAAUGACCGCAUUAACGGAUAUAUUGGAG